Molecule: long non-coding RNA, 2357 nt
Filed under: Homo sapiens (human)
Lineage: Eukaryota; Metazoa; Chordata; Mammalia; Primates; Hominidae
Description: HSALNT0335512
Source: RNAcentral
UUCCUGACUUGGAGAAGGAGAUUUCUUUCUGUGUCCUCACAUGGUAGAGAGAAAGAGAGAGAGAGAGCAACCUCGAUGGUAUCUCAUCUUAUUAGGGCACCAGUUUCAUCAAGAGGGCAUCAUCUUCAUGGCCUCAUCUAAACCUAAUUAACUCCAAAAGGCCCCAUGUCCCAACACCAUCACAUUGGGGGCUUAGGACUACAACAUAUGAAUUUUGUGGAGUCACAAACAUUGUCUGCAACACUGGAUAAGAACAAGAGAUGAGCAUUAGACAAGAAAUUUUCUUCUUUAGAUCGUAAAAGUACACACUCUUUGUUUUACAAAGAAAGCAUAAGAAGUAAAACUUGGUUGAAAUUUAUAUGUGGGUUUCUUUGGAGAAAAUCCUAUUUACUUUCAAAAAAGUGUCUGAUCUCAGACAAAUUAAACCUUCCUGUGGGCUGACCUUCUGUCAGGUCCUGUUGUGUGUGAUAAGACAGACGAGCUCAAAGAAAAAGCAUUAGACUUUUAUCCUGAGUGAUUUUGUUGCACUUUCCCAGAAUUCAUGCACAGAGAGCCUACAUAAUGAAUAAAUAUCAAUACAUUGGUCGAUAUUUAUGAAAUGCUGCUGGAUACCCAGUCCUAUUCUGGUUGCUCAUGGUUGUGGUGGUGUUGUGGGUGGGAAUCAAGAUAGAUUCACUGGCCUUGAACAGUUUACAGGUUGAUGGAGGAAAGCAUUUGUUGCUCUAGCUCUCACCCAUGUAUAUGUCUAUGAUUUGUUUUGCCGGCUUUAUACAGAAUCCUCAGGUUCCCCCUCAUUUAAUGUGCAAAAUGAAGAUUCUGACAACUAAAAACAAAUUGUUUAGGUGGAUGCAUUCUCAAGAAGAGAAGAAUAAAAAUAAUAUCAAUGUUUUUGCUUCGUAGUAUCCCCCUUCAUAUAUUAUAUGCAGCAUACAUAAUUUUUCAUGGGAAACUAGAUGAAAGAAUUAGGAUUAGAGGGUUUAUGACUUCUUUCAUUUCUUUAUCAUCAGACUCUGAAAGAAACUAAUACCUAUUUACGUGAAGAAAAUGUACAAUUUCUUUAGCUGUCACGGAAAUGUGGUUUAAAAAUAUCUAGUGUGCUCUGCAAAAGCCUUGGCUGAGCUGUGAGAGCAGUCACUUGCCUGUCAGAUGUCUAAUUAUUUCUCCCUCCUCCUCAACCACGCCAGUAGCAGGGAACCACUGAGACCAUAUUGUUGCCCAUAUGUCGGAAAGCUACUAAAUUAAACCCCUGUGUAACAUGCUGACAAGUCUAAUGCAGUAGUUGGAGAUUUGGACCUGGUCUUUGGCUACCUUACUUUGGAUCACUUGGUUGAAACAGUUCCCUUAGUCAACUUGUCCACUGGACUUAAGCUGUGGGACACAGAAAUUUUCCCUGGAAGAACAGAACAAUGAAGAUGAAUAGUUGAAAAAUGAGAGAAUCCUGCAUUCUAAAGGAUCUAGUCUGGAUGCCAGGAGCUGUGUAUAGGAUGAGAGCCUGGUGGACCUGAUUGACCGCCUGUUGUUCAGUUCAGUUCAGAGACUGAAAAUCAGGAUUUGUGCUGGAGAGUCUUUGAACUGUGUGUGAAAGUAUCUGAAGGUCCAUGACAAUUUGAAAGAAGGCAUAUGAAAAAGGUGCAGGAAUCGAAGGCACGAGAUACACCUGAAAGUGGUGGAGCAAUGAAUCUGAACAGGAUGAUGGAUUGAAAGUGCUCAAAAGAGGCAGCUAGGAUCCUGUAUUCAUGUCCUACCACUGCAGCCAGGGAAAGAUCCUCCCACAUCUAUCAGAAGACUGGAGGAUUAUGUCUGGAGAGAUUGAAUUCUAGGGAUGCUCAGGCCCAAAUGAAGGUUUGAGCACACAAUGAAAUGAGUUGAUAUUGACUGUUGGGAACCAGAGUUCUCAGUGGAUGAAGAGACACAGAAAAAUAAAAUGAAGGAAGGCAAAGAAGAUCUCUGAAGAGAUGGAUUGGAAUUGGAAGCAUUAGUAUGAACCAUGAUUCUAAAAUAGUUAUAUAUUGAUGUCUAUGCUUGUAUAUAUCCAGAAGUUUAUGUAUGUAUGUUUAAAUGUGUGUGUAAUAUAUAUGUAUACAUAUAUGUACACAUGUAUAUAUUUCCUAGCUUUGUCUACUGAAAGGGUCCACAAGCAAAAUCUUGUAGCGGAUCUUGGUCUCUAAGAUUGUUCCCUGUUAAAAAAAAAACAGGAUCCGUUGGAGAAAUUGCUGAUUCCAGUGCUGUAGCAGAAAAGGUAAUACAUGAUCCUAAAAUCAGUAGUCUCAUUCUGUUAGAUUACUGUGGGGUUCAGUAUGGUAGCCACUAGUCUCUUGUGCUAUUUAUUUAUUUAUUUUUAUUAUUAUGCUUUAAGU